CCAAAUCCUGUCCCCUGCUAAUAGAAAAUAAAAAUAUGAAGCACUUCACAUGUUAUUUAUUGGUAUUUGACAGAAAACCCUCAGAAAAACUAGCCAUUAAGAUGGAAAGAGCCCAAAAUCUACCUCAGGCUAAAGAGUCGGCAGCUUAAUAUAUGGGAAUGGUACAAUACAUUGCAUGGAGUAUAGACCCACUAGACAGCAACUUCAUUGCUCCACCUCACAGUAAAAUUUGUCCUCAUCACCAUUGUCUCGUAAUCUUUGCUUUUGCACAUGAAAAUGGGGUCCUUUGAAUGGGUAGUGCUAUAUAUAAUUUCUUGAAAUUUGAAUUCUCAGGGGGGAGGUUGGUCCCUUUUAUUUUUCAUAGAUGUUAUCAUAACAUGACAGGCCUUAUAAUUUUUAUUUUCCCAUCAAUAUAUAUGUAUAGAAUGAAAAUAGGAAGGGUACUUUUGCUUCAACAGUAGCUUUUCCUUCUCCUCUCUGAAUUCUAGACUAAAAUUAAUACUCAUUACUGGACUUUUCUCCAUGUCCUUCCCAUGUGCUUCAAGAUUAUAUUAUUGGACUUUAUUA
Molecule: long non-coding RNA, 567 nt
Organism: Jatropha curcas
Lineage: Eukaryota; Viridiplantae; Streptophyta; Magnoliopsida; Malpighiales; Euphorbiaceae
Source: RefSeq, a predicted model, not a curated record